GUUGCCGCAAAAUCGGCGACCAGGUUUAGCAGCCUGAAUGUACAAGCGGACGACCGCUUUAGUUUCAUGCGGUUUUUUU
This 79-nucleotide small RNA is filed under the name Pectobacterium brasiliense. RNAcentral's name for it is "Pectobacterium carotovorum subsp. brasiliense isrK". It matches the Rfam family "isrK Hfq binding RNA". The record is from RNAcentral. Lineage: Bacteria; Pseudomonadati; Pseudomonadota; Gammaproteobacteria; Enterobacterales; Pectobacteriaceae.